This 253-nucleotide ribosomal RNA is filed under the name uncultured prokaryote. RNAcentral's name for it is "partial 16S ribosomal RNA". It matches the Rfam family "Bacterial small subunit ribosomal RNA", at positions 525 to 777 of the family's 1533-position model. The record is from RNAcentral.
ACGAAGGGUGCAAGCGUUACUCGGAAUUACUGGGCGUAAAGCGUGCGUAGGUGGUUUGUUAAGUCUGAUGUGAAAGCCCCGGGCUCAACCUGGGAAUGGCCGUUGAAACUGGCGAACUGGAGUGUGGCAGAGGGGGGUGGAAUUCCGCGUGUAGCAGUGAAAUGCGUAGAGAUGUGGAGGAACACCGAUGGCGAAGGCAGCCCCCUGGGCUAAGAUUGACGCUCAUGCACGAAAGCGUGGGGAGCAAACAGGA